Molecule: long non-coding RNA, 560 nt
Filed under: Suricata suricatta (meerkat)
Lineage: Eukaryota; Metazoa; Chordata; Mammalia; Carnivora; Herpestidae
Description: lncRNA (ENSSSUG00005023123.1)
Source: RNAcentral
AGCCCCUCGGCUGACCUCCUCUCGCUUGCUGCCUUCCCAGAACAUUUCCAAACACCCUCCGGGGCUGAAUCACCUCCUAGUGAGACUUCAGUAGACGCUGGCGUGACCCGGGGUGCCAACCGGCACCAGCCGCCCUGCCGCUCGGCCGAGGCCACGUGCAAAGUUUUCAUUCAACAGUUGCUAGUUCCCGGGAACGCGGGAAUUCUUCGGAUCCUCUCAUCUGUUGGCUUGGCUCUGCAGAAGCAUUUCCAGUGUUCUCCCGCUGACCUGCCCGCCAGGGACCCUCAGACCGGGGCGCCGGGCCACGCACGCCCGACAGGGACCUGUCCCAAGAACAGGCUGAUGUCUGGUUCGCGCCCAGACAAUGGCCGCAUCCCAUUAAUACUUAAACUCCACACUUAGAAGAAUUUAGUAAAGACAGACCCUGAUGAUGACGUUAAAUACCUUCCCUUCUUUUAAUAACAACUUGAUUUCAGAUCAGGAAUCAGAGUCGUCUAAUACUGUGAAAAUUAAACAGAAAUGUUCUGCCAUUACACCAAGCAGACUGCUUAAUAAAUCGG